GACGUAGGAGGCGAGCGUUAUCCGGAUUCACUGGGCGUAAAGCGCAUGUAGGCGGUUGGAUAAGUCCGUUGUUAAAGCCCCUGGCUCAACUGGGAGAGGUCCUUGGAUACUGGUGGACUUGAGGGAUGCAGAGGAAAGUGGAAUUCCCGGUGUAGUGGUGAUAUGCGUAGAUAUCGGGAGGAACACCAGUGGCGAAGGCGGCUUUCUGGGCAUUUCCUGACGCUGAGACGCGAAAGCGUGGGGAGCGAACCGG
Molecule: ribosomal RNA, 253 nt
Filed under: uncultured bacterium
Lineage: Bacteria
Description: partial 16S ribosomal RNA
Rfam family: Bacterial small subunit ribosomal RNA
Source: RNAcentral